GAUGAACGCUGGCGGCGUGCCUAAUACAUGCAAGUCGAGCGAACGGACGAGAAGCUUGCUUCUCUGAUGUUAGCGGCGGACGGGUGAGUAACACGUGGAUAACCUACCUAUAAGACUGGGAUAACUUCGGGAAACCGGAGCUAAUACCGGAUAAUAUUUUGAACCGCAUGGUUCAAAAGUGAAGGACGGUCUUGCUGUCACUUAUAGAUGGAUCCGCGCUGCAUUAGCUAGUUGGUAAGGUAACGGCUUACCAAGGCAACGAUGCAUAGCCGACCUGAGAAGGUGAUCGGCCACACUGGAACUGAGACACGGUCCAGACUCCUACGGGAGGCAGCAGUAGGGAAUCUUCCGCAAUGGGCGAAAGCCUGACGGAGCAACGCCGCGUGAGUGAUGAUGGUCUUCGGAUCGUAAAACUCUGUUAUUAGGGAAGAACAUAUGUGUAAGUAACUGUGCACAUCUUGACGGUACCUAAUCAGAAAGCCACGGCUAACUACGUG
This 497-nucleotide ribosomal RNA is filed under the name uncultured bacterium. RNAcentral's name for it is "partial 16S ribosomal RNA". It matches the Rfam family "Bacterial small subunit ribosomal RNA", at positions 28 to 507 of the family's 1533-position model. The record is from RNAcentral.